RNAcentral lists this long non-coding RNA (507 nucleotides) under Pan troglodytes (chimpanzee). Its description in RNAcentral is "lincRNA". Lineage: Eukaryota; Metazoa; Chordata; Mammalia; Primates; Hominidae. The record is from RNAcentral.
CUUCUCUGCAGACACCAGCCUGGUGUCCUCCUUCAUCCCAGGCUGCCAGGCUAGGCAGGGGGCAGCGGCUGCCCUGGUCCUCACAGCCCUGGCUGCGGGGCUGGUGACAGCCAGAUCCUCAUGCUUCUGUGACCAGAGCGCUGCCUUCAGACACCUCUCUGCUGGCGUGUUCCUGGGUCCAUGAUGGAAGAAGGAAAAGUAUUUUUAAAAGACAAUCUAAAGCUCACACUGUGACUGCAACAUAAAAUGUGUUCACCUGAGGAGACUGCUUUCACCGUGAGUGUGUCACAGCUGACUUCUCUGAGCUGGAUGGCACCCUGGACAUCAACCAGCCCUUCACCUUCACGUCACACAGGAGGGACACUGGUCCACAGAGAGGAUGCCUGCUCUGGUCACCAGCUGGAGAGUGGCAGACCUUGGGUACCUGACCUUUGGACUCUGCCACGCAGAGCACUUCCUCAGUCCCUCCUGCUGCCCCUGGCAGGGUGGAGCUGGCAGGGCAGCUGA